RNAcentral lists this ribosomal RNA (747 nucleotides) under uncultured Bacteroidota bacterium. RNAcentral's name for it is "bacterial SSU rRNA". It matches the Rfam family "Bacterial small subunit ribosomal RNA", at positions 640 to 1390 of the family's 1533-position model. The record is from RNAcentral. Lineage: Bacteria; Pseudomonadati; Bacteroidota.
UCUUGAGUUGCGGUGAAGUGGCUGGAAUAUGUGGUGUAGCGGUGAAAUGCAUAGAUAUCACAUAGAACCCCGAUUGCGAAGGCAGGUCACUAACCGCCGACUGACGCUGAUGGACGAAAGCGUGGGGAGCGAACGGGAUUAGAUACCCCGGUAGUCCACGCCGUAAACGAUGGACACUAGCUGUCGGGCCGAUUUAGGUUCGGUGGCCAAGCGAAAGUGAUAAGUGUCCCACCUGGGGAGUACGUCGGCAACGAUGAAACUCAAAGGAAUUGACGGGGGCCCGCACAAGCGGUGGAGCAUGUGGUUUAAUUCGAUGAUACGCGAGGAACCUUACCAGGGCUUAAAUGUAGUGGGACAGGCUUAGAGAUAGGCUCUUCUUCGGACUCAUUACAAGGUGCUGCAUGGUUGUCGUCAGCUCGUGCCGUGAGGUGUCAGGUUAAGUCCUAUAACGAGCGCAACCCCUACCGUUAGUUGCCAGCGAGUAAUGUCGGGGACUCUAACGGAACUGCCGGUGCAAACCGCGAGGAAGGUGGGGAUGACGUCAAAUCAUCACGGCCCUUACGUCCUGGGCUACACACGUGCUACAAUGGCCGGUACAAUGAGCAGCCACGUCGCAAGGCGGAGCGAAUCUAUAAAACCGGUCACAGUUCGGAUCGGGGUCUGCAACCCGACCCCGUGAAGCUGGAAUCGCUAGUAAUCGGAUAUCAGCCAUGAUCCGGUGAAUACGUUCCCGGGCCUUGUACACAC